Molecule: ribosomal RNA, 1233 nt
Filed under: metagenome
Description: bacterial LSU rRNA
Rfam family: Bacterial large subunit ribosomal RNA
Source: RNAcentral
UGAAUACGAGACGCUAAGGCGUCGAAGUAGUGUAUGUCAUACUUCCAAGAAAAGCUUGCACUGUCAUAGAUAAAAAACGCCUGUACCAUAACCGACACAGGUGGGUAGGUAGAGUAUACUAAGGGGCGCGAGAUAACUCUCUCUAAGGAACUCGGCAAAAUAACUCCGUAACUUCGGGAGAAGGAGUGCCUUAUUAUUAAGGCUGCAAUAACAAGAUCCAAGCAACUGUUUAUCAAAAACACAGGUCUCCGCUAAGUCGUAAGACGAUGUAUGGGGGCUGACGCCUGCCCAGUGCCAGAAGGUUAAAGAAGUUGGUUAGCAUUUGCGAAGCUGAUAACUGAAGCCCUGGUGAACGGCGGCCGUAACAAUAACGGUCCUAAGGUAGCGAAAUUCCUUGUCGGGUAAGUUCCGACCCGCACGAAAGGCGUAAUGAUUUGGAUACUGUCUCGGAGAGGGGCUCGGUGAAAUAGACUUGUCUGUGAAGAUGCGGACUACCUGCACCAGGACAGAAAGACCCUAUGAAGCUUUACUGUAACUUGAAAUUGAAAUUGGACUUUAUUCGCGCAGCAUAGGUGGGAGGUUUGAUUAUAAUCUUGUGGGAUUAUUGGAGCCAUCAGUGAGAUACCACUCUUGUAAUGUUAGAUUUCUAACUUUGAAUCAUUAUCUGGUCAAAGAACAGUUUCAGGCGGGCAGUUUGACUGGGGCGGUCGCCUCCUAAACGGUAACGGAGGCGUACAAAGGUUUCCUCUGAACGGUUAGAAAUCGUAUCUAGAGUGUAAAGGCAUAAGGAAGCUUGACUGUGAGACCUACAAGUCGAGCAGGGACGAAAGUCGGUCUUAGUGAUCUGACGGUACUGAGUGGAAAGGCCGUCACUCAACGGAUAAAAGUUACUCUAGGAUAACAGGCUGAUCUCCCCCAAGAGUUCACAUCGACGGGGAGGUUUGGCACCUCGAUGUCGGCUCAUCGCAUCCUGGGGCGGUAGUACGUCCCAAGGGUUGGGCUGUUCGCCCAUGAAAGCGGUACGCGAGCUGGGUUCAGAACGUCGUGAGACAGUUCUGUCCAUAUCCGGUGUAGGCGUUAGAAUAUUGAGAGGAGCCUUCUCUAGUACGAGAGGACCGAGAAGGACAUACCUCUGGUGUACCAGUUAUCGUGCCAACGGUAAACGCUGGGUAGCUAUGUAUGGAGUGGAUAACCGCUGAAAGCAUCUAAGUGGGAAGCCCACCUCAAGAUAAG